GCCUUGCUGAAUAUAUAGCUCAGGUGAGAACCAUAUUCAGUUAUUGCCUUUCCCUUCUCCAUAUAUGCAUUAAAUUAGACAUUCUCUUCUUGUAAAUGUUUUCCUUUUCAGCCCUGGAAAGUGUCAUUUUUGCCUGGGGAGGCUCUUGGGACAACUUUACGAAGAGGGGGAGUUUUUGGUUAAUCAUUUGCUCCAUUGUGAGUGGGUGAAAACUCUAAUAGUAUUUAUUGUCGGAUUAACCGAGUCCAUAUUCCAUGCAGAGAAUUUGGAGAUGGAGGUUAUAAUAUUUGAGACAGGAGAUCUUAUUCCACAAUUCAUCAUGAUAAAGUUUUGGAUGCCAUAACAUAGAGAGAAUUAGAUUUAAUGGUUCUUAAGGAUAAAACAACUAGACAAGCUAUAUACUGAAGAACUGAAUGUAUAUGCUAUGCAUAUAGAUAACGAGGAAUAUGUCUAUUGAUCAUUUUGGUUUUGUAAAUUUUGUUGAUAAACUUUCCUGUGAAGUUUUCUAAAACAUAAAUCCUAGUCAUGGCAAACCAUUUUGUGUGUUUGUAAAAUUGCUUUUACUAAUUUUCCUUUUCCAUGUGAACACCAGUUUUAUGCAUUUUAAGUUGCUAGAAUUUGAUUUUAUAGACUGAUGAUAAUAUUAUUUUUAUCAUUAUUGUUAUGAUAUUUAAUUUUGCUUUUAUUUUCCUCUUUGGUUAGAAUUAUGCUCUUCCUCAGGUCUUUAAUUGUGUAAAUUGCAGGAGGAAAUGGAUAGGAAAAAU
This 764-nucleotide unclassified non-coding RNA is filed under the name Hevea brasiliensis (rubber tree). Lineage: Eukaryota; Viridiplantae; Streptophyta; Magnoliopsida; Malpighiales; Euphorbiaceae. The record is from RNAcentral.